AUUGAACGCUGGCGGCAUGCCUUACACAUGCAAGUCGAACGGUAACAGGUUAAGCUGACGAGUGGCGAACGGGUGAGUAAUGUAUCGGAACGUGCCCAGUCGUGGGGGAUAACUGCUCGAAAGAGCAGCUAAUACCGCAUACGACCUGAGGGUAAAAGCGGGGGCUCGCAAGACCUCGCGCGAUUGGAGCGGCCGAUAUCAGAUUAGGUAGUUGGUGAGGUAAAGGCUCACCAAGCCGACGAUCUGUAGCCGGUCUGAGAGGACGACCAGCCACACUGGGACUGAGACACGGCCCAGACUCCUACGGGAGGCAGCAGUGGGGAAUUUUGGACAAUGGGCGCAAGCCUGAUCCAGCCAUGCCGCGUGCGGGAAGAAGGCCUUCGGGUUGUAAACCGCUUUUGUCAGGGAAGAAAAGGUUCUGGCUAAUACCUGGGACUCAUGACGGUACCUGAAGAAUAAGCACCGGCUAACUACGUG
RNAcentral lists this ribosomal RNA (477 nucleotides) under uncultured bacterium. RNAcentral's name for it is "partial 16S ribosomal RNA". It matches the Rfam family "Bacterial small subunit ribosomal RNA", at positions 30 to 507 of the family's 1533-position model. The record is from RNAcentral.